GAAGGACGUGCUAAUCUGCGAAAAGCUUGGAUGAGUCGAUAAGAGGCGUUUAAUCCAAGAUGUCCGAAUGGGGAAACCCAGUGGGUGAAGAACCCACUAUCAUUAUCUGAAUCCAUAGGAUAAUGAGGCGAACCGGGAGAACUGAAACAUCUAAGUACCCCGAGGAAAAGAAAUCAACCGAGAUUCUGUCAGUAGCGGCGAGCGAAAGCGGAAGAGCCUGUUAGUGAUAGCAGUUUUGUUAGGAGAAUGUGUUGGGAAGCACAAUCACAGAGGGUGAUAAUCCCGUAUCCGAAAACAUUAUUGCGGUACUAAGCUAACGAAAAGUAAGGCGGGACACGAGAAAUCCUGUUUGAAGAUGGGGGGACCAUCCUCCAAGGCUAAAUACUCCUGAUUGACCGAUAGUGAACCAGUACUGUGAAGGAAAGGCGAAAAGAACCCCGGUGAGGGGAGUGAAAUAGAACCUGAAACCUUGUACGUACAAGCAGUGGGAGCCCGAAAGGGUGACUGCGUACCUUUUGUAUAAUGGGUCAGCGACUUAUAUUUUGUAGCGAGGUUAACCGAAUAGGGGAGCCGAAGGGAAACCGAGUCUUAACUGGGCGAAUAGUUGCAAGGUAUAGACCCGAAACCCGGUGAUCUAGCCAUGGGCAGGUUGAAGGUUGGGUAACACUAACUGGAGGACCGAACCGACUAAUGUUGAAAAAUUAGCGGAUGACUUGUGGCUGGGGGUGAAAGGCCAAUCAAACCGGGAGAUAGCUGGUUCUCCCCGAAAUCUAUUUAGGUAGAGCCUUGAGCGGACACCUUCGGGGGUAGAGCACUGUUUCGGCUAGGGGUCCAUCCCGGAUUACCAACCCGAUGCAAACUGCGAAUACCGAAGAGUGAUACUCAGGAGACACACGGCGGGUGCUAACGUUCGUCGUGGAGAGGGAAACAACCCAGACCGCCAGCUAAGGUCCCAAAGUCUAUAUUAAGUGGGAAACGAAGUGGGAAGGCUUAGACAGCUAGGAUGUUGGCUUAGAAGCAGCCAUCAUUUAAAGAAAGCGUAAUAGCUCACUAGUCGAGUCGGCCUGCGCGGAAGAUGUAACGGGGCUCAAAUAUAGCACCGAAGCUGCGGCAUCAGACGUAAGUCUGUUGGGUAGGGGAGCGUUGUGUAAGCGGAUGAAGAUGGUUCGAGAGGGCUGUUGGACGUAUCACAAGUGCGAAUGCUGACAUAAGUAACGAUAAAACGGGUGAAAAACCCGUUCGCCGGAAGACCAAGGGUUCCUGUCCAACGUUAAUCGGGGCAGGGUGAGUCGGCCCCUAAGGCGAGGCUGAAAAGCGUAGUCGAUGGGAAACGGGUUAAUAUUCCCGUACUUGGAUAAACUGCGAUGUGGGGACGGAGCAGGUUAGGUUAUCGCACUGUUGGAUAUGUGCGUUUAAGUUUGUAGGUGUGAAGUUUAGGCAAAUCCGGACUUCUUUAACACUGAGAGAUGAUGACGAGGCUCUACGGAGCUGAAGUAACCGAUACCACACUUCCAGGAAAAGCCACUAAGCUUCAGGUUUAUCUAAACCGUACUGAAAACCGACACAGGUGGUCAGGUAGAGAAUACUCAGGCGCUUGAGAGAACUCGGGUGAAGGAACUAGGCAAAAUAGCACCGUAACUUCGGGAGAAGGUGCGCCGGCGUAGAUUGUAAUCCCUUGCGGAUGAAGGUUGAACCGGUCGAAGAUACCAGCUGGCUGCAACUGUUUAUUAAAAACACAGCACUCUGCAAACACGAAAGUGGACGUAUAGGGUGUGACGCCUGCCCGGUGCUGGAAGGUUAAUUGAAGAUGUGCAAGCAUCGGAUCGAAGCCCCAGUAAACGGCGGCCGUAACUAUAACGGUCCUAAGGUAGCGAAAUUCCUUGUCGGGUAAGUUCCGACCUGCACGAAUGGCAUAAUGAUGGCCAGGCUGUCUCCACCCGAGACUCAGUGAAAUUGAAAUCGCCGUGAAGAUGCGGUGUACCCGCGGCUAGACGGAAAGACCCCGUGAACCUUUACUAUAGCUUGACACUGAACAUUGAAUUUUGAUGUGUAGGAUAGGUGGGAGACUUUGAAGUAGUCACGCCAGUGAUUAUGGAGUCGUCCUUGAAAUACCACCCUUUAACGUUUGAUGUUCUAACGAAGAUUACGAAACGUGGUCUCGGACAGUGUCUGGUGGGUAGUUUGACUGGGGCGGUCUCCUCCCAAAGAGUAACGGA
RNAcentral lists this ribosomal RNA (2216 nucleotides) under human metagenome. Its description in RNAcentral is "bacterial LSU rRNA". It matches the Rfam family "Bacterial large subunit ribosomal RNA", at positions 51 to 2304 of the family's 2925-position model. The record is from RNAcentral.